RNAcentral lists this ribosomal RNA (492 nucleotides) under uncultured bacterium. Its description in RNAcentral is "partial 16S ribosomal RNA". It matches the Rfam family "Bacterial small subunit ribosomal RNA", at positions 29 to 507 of the family's 1533-position model. The record is from RNAcentral.
AGUGAACGCUGGCGGUAGGCCUAACACAUGCAAGUAGAACGGCAGCACAGUAAGAGCUUGCUCUUACGGGUGGCGAGUGGCGGACGGGUGAGGAAUACAUCGGAAUCUACUUUUUCGUGGGGGAUAACGUAGGGAAACUUACGCUAAUACCGCAUACGACCUACGGGUGAAAGCAGGGGAUCUUCGGACCUUGCGCGAUUGAAUGAGCCGAUGUCGGAUUAGCUAGUUGGCGGGGUAAAGGCCCACCAAGGCGACGAUCCGUAGCUGGUCUGAGAGGAUGAUCAGCCACACUGGAACUGUGACACGGUCCAGACUCCUACGGGAGGCAGCAGUGGGGAAUAUUGGACAAUGGGCGCAAGCCUGAUCCAGCCAUACCGCGUGGGUGAAGAAGGCCUUCGGGUUGUAAAGCCCUUUUGUUGGGAAAGAAAAGCAGCAGGUUAAUACCCCGCUGUUCUGACGGUACCCAAAGAAUAAGCACCGACUAACUUCGUG